Molecule: ribosomal RNA, 2756 nt
Filed under: Phycisphaera sp.
Lineage: Bacteria; Pseudomonadati; Planctomycetota; Phycisphaerae; Phycisphaerales; Phycisphaeraceae
Description: 23S ribosomal RNA
Rfam family: Bacterial large subunit ribosomal RNA
Source: RNAcentral
GUGUGAUCAAGCGAUCAAGGGCGUAUGGUGGAUGUCUUGGCGUUGGGAGGCGAUGAAGGACGUGGUAACCUGCGAUAAGCCUCGGGAAGCUGGUAAACGAGCUGUGAACCGAGGAUCUCCGAAUGGGGCAACCCGGCCCGUAUGGGUCACUCUUACCUGAAUGCAUAGGGUAAGUAGAGCAAACCUGGGGAACUGAAACAUCUAAGUACCCAGAGGAAAGGAAAGCAACAGCGACUCCGUAAGUAGCGGCGAGCGAAAGCGGAUAAGAGACAACGUGAGCGGCCUGGAAUGGUCGGCCAAAGAAGGUGAAAGCCCUGUAGUGUUGUCGUUAGAGUCUUCAAGUAGGUUCGGGCUCGUGAAACCCGGUCUGAACGUGGGGGGUCCACCCUCCAAGACUAAGUACUACCCAACGACCGAUAGUGCAUCAGUAAGGUGACUGAAAGAUUAAAAGUACCGCGAUGAGCGGGGUGAAAGAGUACCUGAAACCAUGCGCCUACAAGCGGUGGGAGCCCGACCCUUCGGGGGGAGGUGACCGCGUGCUUUUUGCAUAAUGAGCCCACGAGUUAGUCUCUGCAGCGAGCCUAAGACCUACCGGGUCGGAGGCGAAGGGAAACCGAGUCUGAAUAGGGCGCUUAGUUGUAGGGGCUAGACGCGAAACCCGUGUGAUCUACCCAUGGCCAGGGUGAAGUUGGGGUAAGACCCAAUGGAGGCCCGAACCCGUACUCGUUGAAAAGAGUUGGGAUGAGCUGUGGGGAGGAGUAAAAGUCUAAUCAAACCGGGAGAUAGCUCGUUCUCUCCGAAAUAACUUUAGGGUUAGCCUCAGAUAGCAACAGUUGGGGGUAGAGCUACUGGAUGAGUGGCGGGCCCUACCCAGGGUACCCCAUUCAACCAAACUCCGAAUACCAACUGCCAAGGUCUGGGAGAUAGACUGCGAGUGACAAUAUCCGUAGUCAAGAGGAGAAAAAUCCAGACCGCCAGUUAAGGCCCCAAAUCUCUACUCAGUUCUUAAGGAAGUCGGAUUGCAAUGACAACCAGGAUGUUGGCUUAGAAGCAGCCACCAUUUAAAGAGUGCGUAACAGCUCACUGGUCGAGGAAUCCGGCGCCGAUAAUGAUCGGGAAUAAGUAGAGAGCCGAAACUGCGGACUUCGUAAGAAGUGGUAGGAGAGCGUUCCUGUCAGCAGUGAAGCGAAUCCGGAAGGAUUCGUGGAGCGUCAGGAAGUGAAUAUGUGGGCUUGAGUAACGAUAAUGUGGGUGAGAAUCCCACACGCCGAAAGCCUAAGGUUUCCUGGGGAAGGUACAUCCGCCCAGGGUUAGGCGGKACCUAAGRCGAGGCCGAARGGCGUAGUCGAUGGAMAGCWGGUUAAUAUUCCNNMGCMCWUWYRWRGRUYARMSSWYRGUGCGGAUYKYUGAGCUNNNCAMSRSGACUNWKWRRUGYCYAGGCCUUCGGGCCGUUGKWKGGGGAUWKRGUUCCUAGAAAAGCNNNYRKRKRKRCRAWGYAWGWCYCGUACYAAAACUGACACAGGUAGRCGRGGCGAAUAGCCUCAGGCGCUCGAGAGAAUGGUCGUGAAGGAAUUAGGCAAAUUAACUCCGUAMGUUCGCRAUAAGGAGGCCCUUCGGGGCGCAGAGAAAAGGYCCUGGCAACUGUUUAUCAAAAACACAGCACUGUGCUAASUCGCAAGASGMYGUAUACAGUGUGACGCUUGCCCAAUGCCCGAAUGUCACGGAAGUGGGUUUACGCUCACAACCUAAGCACGGGUCAAUGGCGGCCGUAACUAUGACGGUCCUAAGGUAGCGAAGUUCCUUGUCGGGUAAGUUCCGACGCGCAUGAAUAGYGUAAUGACUGGGRCACUGUCUCCACGACCAACUCGGUGAAAUAGUAGUGGCGGUGAAGAUGCCGCCUACCCGCAGCAAGACGGAAAGACCCCGUGAACCUUUACUGCAGGCUUAUAUUGGUCAUGUGCACAAGAUGCGCAGGAUAGGUGGGAGGCUUUGAAGCCGGUGCUUAGGCAUUGGUGGAGCCGUUGGUGAGAUACCACCCUUCUUGAGUGUGUGGCCUAACUUCGAUUCCCGUGAAUCCGGGCGAAGGACAGUGUAUGCUGGGUAGUUUGACUGGGGCGGUCUCCUCCUAAAGAGUAACGGAGGAGCGCAAAGUUUGGCUCAGCACGGAUGGAAACCGUGUGUUAGAGUGUAAGAGCAUAAGCCAGAUUUACUGCGAGUCCGACAGGACGAGCAGUCUCGAAAGAGGGCUCUAGUGAUCCUGCGAUCGCGUGUGGAAGCGUCGUAGCUCAUCGGAUAAAAGGUACUCCGGGGAUAACAGGCUUAUCGCUCCCGAGCGUCCAUAGCGGCGGAGCGGUUUGGCACCUCGAUGUCGGCUCAUCRCAUCCUGGGGCUGWAGGCGGUCCCAAGGGUURGGCUGUUCGCCYAUUAAAGCGGUACGCGAGCUGGGUUCAGACCGGCGUGAGCCAGGUCGGUCCCUAUCUGUCGUGGGCGUUCCAGACUUGACGGGAGUCAACCCUAGUACGAGAGGACUGGGUUGGACCAACCCCUGGUGUUCCAGUUGGACUGCUAAGUCCAUAGCUGGGUAGCUACGUUGGGCAGGGAUAACCGCUGAAAGCAUCUAAGCGGGAAGCCCCCCUGAAGAUGAGGUCUGGUUGCAAUGCGUGAGACCCCCGGUAGACCACCGGGUUGAUAGGCCGCAGGUGUAAGGGUUGAGAAACCCUCAGCUGAGCGGUACUAACGGUCGAAGGUUUGACCAC